RNAcentral lists this transfer RNA (108 nucleotides) under Ganoderma leucocontextum. RNAcentral's name for it is "tRNA-Lys". It matches the Rfam family "tRNA". From Rfam's summary of the family: Transfer RNA (tRNA) molecules are approximately 80 nucleotides in length. Their secondary structure includes four short double-helical elements and three loops (D, anti-codon, and T loops). Lineage: Eukaryota; Fungi; Basidiomycota; Agaricomycetes; Polyporales; Polyporaceae. The record is from RNAcentral.
GCCCGCCUAGCUCAAUCGGAUAGAGCGUCAGACUCUUAAAGUGGCGGGGCUUGUAGGUCACGUGAUCCAGUGAUCUGAAGGCUGCGAGUUCGACCCUCGCGGUGGGCU